RNAcentral lists this ribosomal RNA (513 nucleotides) under uncultured bacterium. RNAcentral's name for it is "partial 16S ribosomal RNA". It matches the Rfam family "Bacterial small subunit ribosomal RNA", at positions 28 to 507 of the family's 1533-position model. The record is from RNAcentral.
GACGAACGCUGGCGGCGUGCUUAACACAUGCAAGUCGAACGAAAAGAGGGAAAGAGCUUGCUCUUUCCGGAAUUGAGUGGCAAACGGGUGAGUAACACGUAAACAACCUGCCUUCAGGAUGGGGACAACAGACGGAAACGACUGCUAAUACCGAAUAAGUUCCAAGGGCCGCAUGGCCCAUGGAAGAACAGGUGGCCUCUACCUGUAAGCUAUCGCCUGAAGAGGGGUUUGCGUCUGAUUAGCUGGUUGGAGGGGUAACGGCCCACCAAGGCGACGAUCAGUAGCCGGUCUGAGAGGAUGAACGGCCACACUGGAAUUGAGACACGGUCCAGACUCCUACGGGAGGCAGCAGUGGGGAAUCUUCCGCAAUAGGCGAAAGCCUGACGGAGCAACGCCGCGUGAGUGAUGACGGCCUUCGGGUUGUAAAACUCUGUGAUCCGGGACGAAAAGGCAGAGUGCGAAGAACAAACUGCAUUGACGGUACCGGAAAAGCAAGCCACGGCUAACUACGUG